AGGGUUAUAGUUAAAUUAUAUAACAUUUGAUUUGCAUUCAAAAAUUAUUUAAAAUCUUAAAUUUACCUUG
RNAcentral lists this transfer RNA (70 nucleotides) under Epistrophe bashanensis. RNAcentral's name for it is "tRNA-Ala". Lineage: Eukaryota; Metazoa; Arthropoda; Insecta; Diptera; Syrphidae. The record is from RNAcentral.